CUCCGUCCCCGCCCGCACCCGUCUCUCUCUCUCUCUCUCUCUGAGCUCCGCUCACGGAGCUCGCAGAGAUCGCCGCCGGAGCUUCCCGCCGGAACCCUCCGAAUACGCCGCUCGUUCUCCGCCAUCGCCGGCUCUUCGUUCCGUUUAUGAUGUUCUGUUGGUAGCUCUGGCCAUCGGUUGACACUGCGACUGAAAAUGUCUCUUGCUGGCUCCAUGUACUUGUCCCAUAAUUUGGGACUUCCCAAGGAUAGGGGCCGCAAUUACUUGUUGAAGAGCUUAGGCGGAAGAGGCAACUUGUGCGUAGGGAGUCUCUCUUUGUCAUCACGUUCUUCGGAAUUUUGGAGUACGGCUCAAUCUCGAAGUUUAUAUGCUCCGGUAUAUACUGUACAAAAUACAUACAGUGUUUUUAAAUGCUAUUCUUUUUUAGGUCCAAGGAAUUUGCAUGAAAAUUCACUAGUGAAGACUGCAGCCGCCGCAAUGUCCAGGCCGUUCAGUGUGUUACAAAGUAGUCCUAUUACACUGAAGUUGGUUGCCGCUAUCAGCAUUGUUGUCUUUGCUUUUUGGGGGCUUGGUCCGCUUAUGCGCCAGAGCAGACGAUUACUACUUCAUAAGAAUGACAAUAAUUGGAAAAAGAGCAACACAUACUAUGUGACAACUUCCUAUUUUCAACCUUUGCUACUUUGGAUGGGUGCAACAAUUCUCUGCAGAGCAUUGGAUCCAGUUGUUUUACCAACAGAAGCAACCCAAGUCGUUAAGCAACGGCUUCUGAGCUUUGUGAGGUCAUUGUCAACAGUGUUAGCUCUAGCCUAUUGUUUGUCAAGCGUGAUUCAACAGACACAGAAGUUUCUCAUGGAUAAAAACGAUCCUAGUGAUGCAAGAAAUAUGGGUUUUCAAUUUGCGGGGAGAGCGGUAUAUACCGCAGUAUGGGUUGCAGCUGUUUCAUUGUUCAUGGAGCUGCUAGGGUUCUCUACCCAAAAAUGGCUUACUGCUGGAGGUCUUGGGACAGUAUUACUGACUCUUGCAGGACGUGAGAUAUUCACAAACUUCCUCUCUAGUGCAAUGAUUCAUGCAACUCGUCCUUUCGUUGUGAAUGAGUGGAUUCAGACAAGGAUAGAAGGCUAUGACGUUUCUGGUACUGUUGAGCAUGUGGGAUGGUGGUCUCCAACAAUCGUGAGAGGUGAAGAUCGUGAAGCAGUUCAUAUUCCAAAUCACAAGUUCACCGUGAAUGUUGUUAGGAAUCUGAGCCAAAAAACUCAUUGGCGGAUUAAAACUCAUCUAGCAAUCAGUCACUUGGAUGUCAGCAAAAUCCACAAUAUUGUUGCUGACAUGCGCAAAGUGUUGGCAAAAAAUCCUCAAGUUGAGCAGCAGAGGUUGCAUCGAAGAGUAUUCUUGGACAAUAUUAAUCCAGAAAAUCAGGCUCUUUUGAUCUUAGUAUCCUGCUUUGUGAAGACAUCGCAUUAUGAAGAGUACCUCUGUGUCAAGGAAGCUAUAUUGUUAGAUCUCCUUAGAGUAAUAAGCCAUCACAGGGCCCGACUUGCCACACCAAUUCGCACAAUGCAGAGAAUAUAUGGUGACAACGAUCUGGAAAAUGUACCAUUCAAUGCAGGCUUCCCUCAAGGUGGAGUGGUAUCUAACCGUCCCUUCUUGUUGAUUGAACCCCCAUAUAAGAUCAAUGGAGAGGAUAAAACAAAGACCCGUGCCACUCGAACACCUACUGGGGAGCAAGGUGGUAAGAAAUCCACUCAGUCAACACCUGACACCACUGCAGAUUCUAAGGCUGGAAACACACACCCAUCUGACUCAAAAGUCAAAGAAAUGCCAAUUGCCGACCUUAAAUAUGAUACCAAGAACAAAUCUGGGGGAAACAUAGAGUCCAAAGAGAAUAAGAAGAACAAAAGCACACCUGUUUCUGAUGAAAAAAUGGGGGAGAACAUGAAGAGUAAGCCAGUGUCAAAGCCCGCCUCAAGGUUGAACGUUCAGGUUGCCACUCCUAGUGUUGAAGUCAAACAGAUGGACUCGAUUCCUAAUAAACUCACUGAAGAAGUUUGCAACGGCGAGCAAUCUAAUCUAGUUCAUCCUGAGAAAAGCUUACAAAAGAGUGAGGCCAUGUCUUCUUCUGUUCCCUCUUUAGGAGCUGACACUGAUAAAGAAGCUGGGACAAGUUCUCCAUCGAACCAUGAAAACAAGAAGAUGGUCUCACAUCCACCUGUAUCGAGGCCUGCUUUGGAAGAUAAUAUAGUACUCGGUGUUGCAUUAGAAGGGGGAAAGAGAACGCUCCCUAUUGAGGAAGAGGUGAUUCCUCCCAAUAAUGCAGGUUUAAUAGAUUUAAAUGCCGAGAAGAACAAAGAUGGUUCGGUUCCGGCAUCUCCCAGUAAAAGUUCCACCCAUCAGAAGCACCAGUUAGAUUGAAUUGUAGAUGAUAGUUGCUUUGGUUCGCCGCUGACUGUUGCCAACAAGCUAAUACCAUGAUUCCAUGCAUUACUUUGUGAUGCAUGUUGUUUCUUUAGCUGAUUUCCUACCUUGUUAUGGUAGGGUCGAAUGCUGCUGCUGUGGAUUAGUCACUGAAUCUCUAUUGUAUGAGAGAAGGCCCCUAAUGAAAAGCUGUCACCGCUGAAGUUCUGAAGUGAAAA
Syzygium oleosum is the source of this 2630-nucleotide RNA transcript. It is a transcript of the gene named mechanosensitive ion channel protein 2, chloroplastic-like, with no coding region annotated. NCBI's taxonomy places the organism in Eukaryota, Viridiplantae, Streptophyta, Magnoliopsida, Myrtales, Myrtaceae. The transcript is spliced from 15 exons. The record is from RefSeq and is a predicted model, not a curated record.